GACGAACCGAGCGAACGUUGUUCGGAAUCACUGGGCUUAAAGGGCGCGUAGGCGGAUUGCUAAGUCAGGGGUGAAAUCCUGGAGCUCAACUCCAGAACUGCCUUUGAUACUGGCGACCUUGAGUCCGGGAGAGGUGAGUGGAACUGCGAGUGUAGAGGUGAAAUUCGUAGAUAUUCGCAAGAACACCAGUGGCGAAGGCGGCUCACUGGCCCGGUACUGACGCUGAGGUGCGAAAGCGUGGGGAGCAAACAGG
Molecule: ribosomal RNA, 253 nt
Filed under: uncultured bacterium
Lineage: Bacteria
Description: partial 16S ribosomal RNA
Rfam family: Bacterial small subunit ribosomal RNA
Source: RNAcentral